AGAGGCUGGUGAGAAGCACUGGUCCAGGAAGGAUGGGCAAAAGAUGCAGCACUAACACAAGCACAAGCUGCAGAGCUACAUCCUGGGAAAUUGCUGGCCUGGAUCCCAAGCCAUUCCUGACAGUCUGAGAAGAUGCAGUUUAGAAAGGGUAAAAUAAGCAACAGAUCCUCUACAUCAGCUUGAUGUUUUUUAUUAACAUGCCCUGAAAAUCAUCUUCUUCCUGCCACUGAUGUACAUUGAGGUACUUCACAUCAAGCAAAAGCAGCCUUAAGGGCCCUCAUCAGCUCUGGCUCCAGAUUUCUCACCUUGCUCCUGAGCCAGACUUGUCUGAAGAGCAGAGAUGACAGCAUGCUU
Pezoporus flaviventris is the source of this 354-nucleotide long non-coding RNA. RefSeq lists it as uncharacterized. The transcript has 3 exons. Lineage: Eukaryota; Metazoa; Chordata; Aves; Psittaciformes; Psittacidae. The record is from RefSeq and is a predicted model, not a curated record.